GUCAUUCUGGCGGAGUGGUUAACGCGCUGCCCUGCUAAUAAUAAUAAUCACAAAGUUAGCCUGCUAGGCAGUUCCUUCGGGAGCAUAGGUUCGAAUCCUAUGGGUGACG
Apodospora peruviana is the source of this 109-nucleotide non-coding RNA. The record is from the annotation of a GenBank genome assembly. Lineage: Eukaryota; Fungi; Ascomycota; Sordariomycetes; Sordariales; Lasiosphaeriaceae.